RNAcentral lists this ribosomal RNA (253 nucleotides) under uncultured bacterium. RNAcentral's name for it is "partial 16S ribosomal RNA". It matches the Rfam family "Bacterial small subunit ribosomal RNA", at positions 524 to 776 of the family's 1533-position model. The record is from RNAcentral.
UACGUAGGGUGCAAGCGUUGUCCGGAAUUAUUGGGCGUAAAGAGCUUGUAGGCGGUUUGUCGCGUCUGCUGUGAAAUUUCGGGGCUCAACCCCGAACUUGCAGUGGGUACGGGCAGACUAGAGUGUGGUAGGGGAGACUGGAAUUCCUGGUGUAGCGGUGGAAUGCGCAGAUAUCAGGAGGAACACCGAUGGCGAAGGCAGGUCUCUGGGCAUUAACUGACGCUGAGGAGCGAAAGCAUGGGGAGCGAACAGG